This 98-nucleotide microRNA precursor is filed under the name Equus caballus (horse). RNAcentral's name for it is "mir-544 microRNA precursor family". It matches the Rfam family "mir-544 microRNA precursor family". Lineage: Eukaryota; Metazoa; Chordata; Mammalia; Perissodactyla; Equidae. The record is from Rfam by way of RNAcentral.
AUCACCUAGGGAUCCUAUUAAAAUGCAGAUUCUGAUUCCGUGGGUCUGGGAUGGGGCCUGAGGUUUUGCAUUUCUAGCAAGUUCCCAGGUGAUGAUGG